ACACUUCAAGUUUAAGUGGUUCAGUGAUGG
RNAcentral lists this non-coding RNA (30 nucleotides) under Mus musculus (house mouse). Lineage: Eukaryota; Metazoa; Chordata; Mammalia; Rodentia; Muridae. The record is from RNAcentral.